RNAcentral lists this transfer RNA (68 nucleotides) under uncultured Ruminococcus sp. It matches the Rfam family "tRNA". Rfam says of the family: Transfer RNA (tRNA) molecules are approximately 80 nucleotides in length. Their secondary structure includes four short double-helical elements and three loops (D, anti-codon, and T loops). The record is from RNAcentral. Lineage: Bacteria; Bacillati; Bacillota; Clostridia; Eubacteriales; Oscillospiraceae.
UGAUAUGGCUCAGUUGGUAGAGCAGCUCAUUCGUAAUGAGCAGGUCGUCGGUUCGAGUCCGACUAUCA